This 332-nucleotide ribosomal RNA is filed under the name uncultured Bacillota bacterium. Its description in RNAcentral is "bacterial SSU rRNA". It matches the Rfam family "Bacterial small subunit ribosomal RNA", at positions 28 to 351 of the family's 1533-position model. Lineage: Bacteria; Bacillati; Bacillota. The record is from RNAcentral.
GACGAACGCUGGCGGCGUGCCUAACACAUGCAAGUCGAGCGGAGAUUGACGGAUGGUAACUGAAGUCAAUUUUAGCGGCGGACGGGUGAGUAACACGUGGGCAACCUGCCUUAAAGAGGGGGAUAACACCGAGAAAUCGGUGCUAAUACCGCAUAACAUACAGACACCACCUGGUGACUGUAUCAAAGGAGAAAUCCGCUUUGAGAUGGGCCCGCGGCUGAUUAGCUAGUUGGUGAGGUAAUGGCUCACCAAGGCGACGAUCAGUAGCCGACCUGAGAGGGUGACCGGCCACACUGGAACUGAGACACGGUCCAGACUCCUACGGGUGGCAG